This 230-nucleotide ribosomal RNA is filed under the name uncultured bacterium. RNAcentral's name for it is "partial 16S ribosomal RNA". It matches the Rfam family "Bacterial small subunit ribosomal RNA", at positions 562 to 791 of the family's 1533-position model. The record is from RNAcentral.
AAAGCGCGCGUAGGUGGUUUGUUAAGUUGGAUGUGAAAUCCCCGGGCUCAACCUGGGAACUGCAUUCAAAACUGACUGACUAGAGUAUGGUAGAGGGUGGUGGAAUUUCCUGUGUAGCGGUGAAAUGCGUAGAUAUAGGAAGGAACACCAGUGGCGAAGGCGACCACCUGGACUAAUACUGACACUGAGGUGCGAAAGCGUGGGGAGCAAACAGGAUUAGAUACCCUAGU